GGCGAAGAUGGCGACGAUGAGGGCUAAACGGGGGAACAGAGCGGGGGGACAAUCGGCACAGUCGGUAAAUGGUGGGGCAACAGAACAGGAGCAUGGGAGGGAAAGCAAUCAUAAUGAGGAUGGGACGCGGGAAGUGACCAACGCAUCUGGUCGCAAUGGUCAAGGAGGAGGUGGAAAUGGUCAGGGGGGACGCAAAAAUGGUUAGGGGGGAGGUGGAAACGGUCAAGGCGGGGGCGAGAAUGAGCAAGUUGGAGGAAGACACGAGCAAGGUGCAGGGAGAAAUAUGAACAACCAGGGG
This 298-nucleotide long non-coding RNA is filed under the name Vigna radiata. Its description in RNAcentral is "long non-coding RNA (VRAD_LNC011142)". The record is from RNAcentral. Lineage: Eukaryota; Viridiplantae; Streptophyta; Magnoliopsida; Fabales; Fabaceae.